CCUACGAGUGGCUGCAGUGAGGAAUAUUGGUCAAUGGGCGGGAGCCUGAACCAGCCAAGUCGCGUGAGGGAAGACGGUCCUAUGGAUUGUAAACCUCUUUAGGCGGGGAGCAAUGCCGGGCAAGCGUGCACGGAGGGAGAGUACCCGCAGAAUAAGCAUCGGAUAACUCCGUGCCAGCAGCCGCGGUAAUACGGAGGAUGCGAGCCUUAUCCGGAUUGAUUGGGUUGAAAGGGUGCGUAGGUGGCAUCAUAAGUAGCUAGUGCAAUAUGGUGGCUCAACCAUUCAGACUAUUAGCUAAACUGUUAAGCUCGAGACCGUUAGGGGUAACUGGAAUUUCUAGUGUAGGAGUGAAAUCCGUAGAUAUUAGAAGGAACACCAAUAGCGUAGGCAGGUUGCUGGGACGGUUCUGACACUAAGGCACGAAAGCGUAGGGAGCAAACGGGAUUAGAUACCCGGGUAGUC
Molecule: ribosomal RNA, 462 nt
Filed under: uncultured bacterium
Lineage: Bacteria
Description: partial 16S ribosomal RNA
Rfam family: Bacterial small subunit ribosomal RNA
Source: RNAcentral